This 466-nucleotide ribosomal RNA is filed under the name uncultured bacterium. RNAcentral's name for it is "partial 16S ribosomal RNA". It matches the Rfam family "Bacterial small subunit ribosomal RNA", at positions 28 to 507 of the family's 1533-position model. The record is from RNAcentral.
GAUGAACGCUGGCGGCGUGCUUAACACAUGCAAGUCGAACGAUGAAGCCCAGCUUGCUGGGUGGAUUAGUGGCGAACGGGUGAGUAACACGUGAGUAACCUGCCCUUAACUCUUGGAUAAGCCUGGGAAACUGGGUCUAAUACCGGAUAGGAGCGCCUACCGCAUGGUGGGUGUUGGAAAGAUUUAUCGGUUUUGGAUGGACUCGCGGCCUAUCAGCUUGUUGGUGGGGGAAUGGCUCACCAAGGCGACGACGGGUAGCCGGCCUGAGAGGGUGACCGGCCACACUGGGACUGAGACACGGCCCAGACUCCAACGGGAGGCAGCAGUGGGGAAUAUUGCACAAUGGGCGCAAGCCUGAUGCAGCGACGCCGCGUGAGGGAUGACGGCCUUCGGGUUGUAAACCUCUUUCGGUAGGGAAGAAGCGAAAGUGACGGUACCUGCAGAAGAAGCACCGGCUAACUACGUG